RNAcentral lists this ribosomal RNA (497 nucleotides) under uncultured bacterium. Its description in RNAcentral is "partial 16S ribosomal RNA". It matches the Rfam family "Bacterial small subunit ribosomal RNA", at positions 28 to 507 of the family's 1533-position model. The record is from RNAcentral.
GAUGAACGCUGGCGGCGUGCCUAAUACAUGCAAGUCGAGCGAACGGACGAGAAGCUUGCUUCUCUGAUGUUAGCGGCGGACGGGUGAGUAACACGUGGAUAACCUACCUAUAAGACUGGGAUAACUUCGGGAAACCGGAGCUAAUACCGGAUAAUAUUUUGAACCGCAUGGUUCAAAAGUGAAAGACGGUCUUGCUGUCACUUAUAGAUGGAUCCGCGCUGCAUUAGCUAGUUGGUAAGGUAACGGCUUACCAAGGCAACGAUGCAUAGCCGACCUGAGAGGGUGAUCGGCCACACUGUAACUGAGACACGGUCCAGACUCCUACGGGAGGCAGCAGUAGGGAAUCUUCCGCAAUGGGCGAAAGCCUGACGGAGCAACGCCGCGUGAGUGAUGAAGGUCUUCGGAUCGUAAAACUCUGUUAUUAGGGUAGAACAUAUGUGUAAGUAACUGUGCACAUCUUGACGGUACCUAAUCAGAAAGCCACGGCUAACUACGUG